RNAcentral lists this signal recognition particle RNA (98 nucleotides) under Gammaproteobacteria bacterium. RNAcentral's name for it is "signal recognition particle sRNA small type". It matches the Rfam family "Bacterial small signal recognition particle RNA". Rfam says of the family: The signal recognition particle (SRP) is a universally conserved ribonucleoprotein involved in the co-translational targeting of proteins to membranes. The record is from RNAcentral. Lineage: Bacteria; Pseudomonadati; Pseudomonadota; Gammaproteobacteria.
CGGCUGGUCCCUCGCGACGAGAAGCUGUGAACCCCGUCAGGCCCGGAAGGGAGCAGCGGCAACAGUGUAAUCGGGUGCCGAGAAUCCACUGGCCGGGU